AUGUGUGCGUUGAAGGAUUGGAGUAAAAAACAAGUCACUGGUACAGAGAGUCGGCGGUUGGUGCAAGUCGGCACAUACUUGUUUUUGAAUUACGACCUGGAGCAAUCUUCUGGUAUAAAUCAGAGGACGGUGAAAUACCGUUAUCGAUAGAAGUGGCACACACGUUUGGUGUGCAACAAGGGUGGUACCGCGAAAGACCUCGUCCCUUUU
RNAcentral lists this non-coding RNA (210 nucleotides) under Halobacillus karajensis. RNAcentral describes it as "T-box sequence". It matches the Rfam family "T-box leader". Rfam says of the family: Uncharged tRNA acts as the effector for transcription antitermination of genes in the T-box leader family. T-boxes are found upstream of many aminoacyl-tRNA synthetase genes and some amino acid biosynthetic genes usually in Gram-positive bacteria. Lineage: Bacteria; Bacillati; Bacillota; Bacilli; Caryophanales; Bacillaceae. The record is from RNAcentral.